RNAcentral lists this ribosomal RNA (586 nucleotides) under Aureobasidium pullulans. RNAcentral describes it as "partial large subunit ribosomal RNA". It matches the Rfam family "Eukaryotic large subunit ribosomal RNA", at positions 53 to 653 of the family's 3401-position model. The record is from RNAcentral. Lineage: Eukaryota; Fungi; Ascomycota; Dothideomycetes; Dothideales; Saccotheciaceae.
GAGGAAAAGGAACCAACAGGGAUUGCCCUAGUAACGGCGAGUGAAGCGGCAACAGCUCAAAUUUGAAAGCUAGCCUUCGGGUUCGCAUUGUAAUUUGUAGAGGAUGAUUUGGGGAAGCCGCCUGUCUAAGUUCCUUGGAACAGGACGUCAUAGAGGGUGAGAAUCCCGUAUGUGACAGGAAAUGGCACCCUAUGUAAAUCUCCUUCGACGAGUCGAGUUGUUUGGGAAUGCAGCUCUAAAUGGGAGGUAAAUUUCUUCUAAAGCUAAAUAUUGGCGAGAGACCGAUAGCGCACAAGUAGAGUGAUCGAAAGAUGAAAAGCACUUUGGAAAGAGAGUUAAAAAGCACGUGAAAUUGUUGAAAGGGAAGCGCUUGCAAUCAGACUUGUUUAAACUGUUCGGCCGGUCUUCUGACCGGUUUACUCAGUUUGGACAGGCCAGCAUCAGUUUCGGCGGCCGGAUAAAGGCUCUGGGAAUGUGGCCUCCACUUCGGGUGGAGGUGUUAUAGCCCAGGGUGUAAUACGGCCAGCCGGGACUGAGGUCCGCGCUUCGGCUAGGAUGCUGGCGUAAUGGUUGUAAGCGACCCGUC